This 525-nucleotide ribosomal RNA is filed under the name uncultured bacterium. RNAcentral describes it as "partial 16S ribosomal RNA". It matches the Rfam family "Bacterial small subunit ribosomal RNA", at positions 36 to 538 of the family's 1533-position model. The record is from RNAcentral.
AUUGAACGCUGGCGGCAGGCCUAACACAUGCAAGUCGAGCGGAUGAAGGGAGCUUGCUCCUGGAUUCAGCGGCGGACGGGUGAGUAAUGCCUAGGAAUCUGCCUGGUAGUGGGGGAUAACGUCCGGAAACGGGCGCUAAUACCGCAUACGUCCUGAGGGAGAAAGUGGGGGAUCUUCGGACCUCACGCUAUCAGAUGAGCCUAGGUCGGAUUAGCUAGUUGGUGGGGUAAAGGCCUACCAAGGCGACGAUCCGUAACUGGUCUGAGAGGAUGAUCAGUCACCAGGGGACGAGGAACCGGUCAAGAGACGGAUGGGAGAGAGAGGUGAGGAAGAGGGGAGAUGGGGCAAGAGCCUGAGGCAGCGAUGCGGGGUGUGUGAAGAAGGUGUAAGGAUUAUAAAGUAUUUUAAGUGGGGAGGAAGGGCAUGAAGUUAAUACAUUGUUGUUUUGAAAUAACAAAAAAAAUAAACGCCGGCCAAUGGAGAGCCAGCAGCGACGGUAAUAGGCGGAAGACAACACUACUGAAC